Molecule: ribosomal RNA, 1534 nt
Filed under: Phocaeicola vulgatus
Lineage: Bacteria; Pseudomonadati; Bacteroidota; Bacteroidia; Bacteroidales; Bacteroidaceae
Description: bacterial SSU rRNA
Rfam family: Bacterial small subunit ribosomal RNA
Source: RNAcentral
UAUUACAAUGAAGAGUUUGAUCCUGGCUCAGGAUGAACGCUAGCUACAGGCUUAACACAUGCAAGUCGAGGGGCAGCAUGGUCUUAGCUUGCUAAGGCCGAUGGCGACCGGCGCACGGGUGAGUAACACGUAUCCAACCUGCCGUCUACUCUUGGACAGCCUUCUGAAAGGAAGAUUAAUACAAGAUGGCAUCAUGAGUCCGCAUGUUCACAUGAUUAAAGGUAUUCCGGUAGACGAUGGGGAUGCGUUCCAUUAGAUAGUAGGCGGGGUAACGGCCCACCUAGUCUUCGAUGGAUAGGGGUUCUGAGAGGAAGGUCCCCCACAUUGGAACUGAGACACGGUCCAAACUCCUACGGGAGGCAGCAGUGAGGAAUAUUGGUCAAUGGGCGAGAGCCUGAACCAGCCAAGUAGCGUGAAGGAUGACUGCCCUAUGGGUUGUAAACUUCUUUUAUAAAGGAAUAAAGUCGGGUAUGCAUACCCGUUUGCAUGUACUUUAUGAAUAAGGAUCGGCUAACUCCGUGCCAGCAGCCGCGGUAAUACGGAGGAUCCGAGCGUUAUCCGGAUUUAUUGGGUUUAAAGGGAGCGUAGAUGGAUGUUUAAGUCAGUUGUGAAAGUUUGCGGCUCAACCGUAAAAUUGCAGUUGAUACUGGAUAUCUUGAGUGCAGUUGAGGCAGGCGGAAUUCGUGGUGUAGCGGUGAAAUGCUUAGAUAUCACGAGGAACUCCGAUUGCGAAGGCAGCCUGCUAAGCUGCAACUGACAUUGAGGCUCGAAAGUGUGGGUAUCAAACAGGAUUAGAUACCCUGGUAGUCCACACGGUAAACGAUGAAUACUCGCUGUUUGCGAUAUACGGCAAGCGGCCAAGCGAAAGCGUUAAGUAUUCCACCUGGGGAGUACGCCGGCAACGGUGAAACUCAAAGGAAUUGACGGGGGCCCGCACAAGCGGAGGAACAUGUGGUUUAAUUCGAUGAUACGCGAGGAACCUUACCCGGGCUUAAAUUGCAGAUGAAUUACGGUGAAAGCCGUAAGCCGCAAGGCAUCUGUGAAGGUGCUGCAUGGUUGUCGUCAGCUCGUGCCGUGAGGUGUCGGCUUAAGUGCCAUAACGAGCGCAACCCUUGUUGUCAGUUACUAACAGGUUCUGCUGAGGACUCUGACAAGACUGCCAUCGUAAGAUGUGAGGAAGGUGGGGAUGACGUCAAAUCAGCACGGCCCUUACGUCCGGGGCUACACACGUGUUACAAUGGGGGGUACAGAGGGCCGCUACCACGCGAGUGGAUGCCAAUCCCAAAAACCUCUCUCAGUUCGGACUGGAGUCUGCAACCCGACUCCACGAAGCUGGAUUCGCUAGUAAUCGCGCAUCAGCCACGGCGCGGUGAAUACGUUCCCGGGCCUUGUACACACCGCCCGUCAAGCCAUGGGAGCCGGGGGUACCUGAAGUGCGUAACCGCGAGGAGCGCCCUAGGGUAAAACUGGUGACUGGGGCUAAGUCGUAACAAGGUAGCCGUACCGGAAGGUGCGGCUGGAACACCUCCUUUCU